This 433-nucleotide ribosomal RNA is filed under the name uncultured bacterium. Its description in RNAcentral is "partial 16S ribosomal RNA". It matches the Rfam family "Bacterial small subunit ribosomal RNA", at positions 29 to 507 of the family's 1533-position model. The record is from RNAcentral.
AACGAACGCUGGCGGCAUGCCUAACACAUGCAAGUCGAACGAGACCUUCGGGUCUAGUGGCGCACGGGUGCGUAACGCGUGGGAACCUGCCCUUAGGUUCGGACUAACUCCCCGAAAGGGGUGCUAAUACCGGAUAAUGUCUUCGGACCAAAGAUUUAUCGCCUUUGGAUGGGCCCGCGUUGGAUUAGCUGGUUGGUAGGGUAAAACCCUACCAAGGCGAGGAUACAUAGCUGGUCUGAGAGGCUGAGCAGACACACUGGGACUGGGACACGGCCCAGACUCCUACGGGAGGCGGCAGUGGGGAAUCUUGGAAUAUGGGGGAAAGGCUGAUCCAGCACUGCCGGGUGAGUGAUGAAGGCGUUAGGGUUGUAAAGCUCUUUUACACGGGAUGAUAAUGACAGUACCGGGAGAAUAAGCACCGGCUAACUCCGUG